Molecule: ribosomal RNA, 468 nt
Filed under: uncultured bacterium
Lineage: Bacteria
Description: partial 16S ribosomal RNA
Rfam family: Bacterial small subunit ribosomal RNA
Source: RNAcentral
GACGAACGCUGGCGGCGUGCUUAACACAUGCAAGUCGAACGGACAGGCCCUGCUUUUGUGGGGUGCUCGAGUGGCGAACGGGUGAGUAACACGUGAGUAACCUGCCCUUGUCUUUGGGAUAACUUCAGGAAACUGGGGCUAAUACCGGAUAGGAGCUCCUGCUGCAUGGUGGGGGUUGGAAAGUUUCGGCGGUUGGGGAUGGACUCGCGGCUUAUCAGCUUGUUGGUGGGGUAGUUGCUUACCAAGGCUUUGACGGGUAGCCGGCCUGAGAGGGUGACCGGCCACAUUGGGACUGAGAUACGGCCCAGACGCCUACGGGAGGCAGCAGUGGGGAAUAUGGCAGAAUGGGCGGAAGCCAGAUGCAGCAACGCCGCGUGCGGGAUGACGGCCUUCGAGUUGUAAACCGCUGUCGCCGGAGACGAAGAGGGAGUGACGGUAAUGGGUAAAGAAGCAACGGCUAACUACGUG